AGGCUGCAGUUGCUAAGCGCUCCUCUGGUGGGAGGUGGUUGCAAAGAUGGGGUGAAGGCUGCCUCGGCGGCUCAGCGCCUCGACAGCCACCUGGCCUGCGGAAGUUUAGCAACCGGGAGGUGGGCCUAAAGCCGGAAGCAGGAAGGAGGGCGCAGGAAGCAGGGGCCGCAGUCAGUCGCGCUGUCGGUCCGUGAGUCCGUCGGUCUUGGGGGCAGGAUGGAGAAGCUGCGGAUCCUGGGCCUCCGCUACCAGGAGUACGUGACUCGCCACCCGGCCGCCACGGCCCAGCUGGAGACGGCAGUGCGAGGCCUCAGCUACCUGCUGGCAGGUCGCUUCGCAGAUUCACACGAGCUGUCAGAACUGGUGUACUCCGCCUCCAAUCUGCUGGUGUUGCUCAAUGAUGGCAUCCUACGAAGAGAGCUGCGGAGAAAACUGCCCAUGUCCCUGUCCCAGCAGAAGCUGCUGACAUGGCUGAGCGUGCUGGAGUGUGUGGAGGUGUUCAUGGAGAUGGGGGCAGCCAAGGUGUGGGGCGAAGUGGGCCGCUGGCUUGUCAUAGCUCUCAUCCAACUGGCCAAGGCUGUCCUGCGGAUGUUUCUGCUGAUCUGGUUCAAGGCUGGCCUCCAAACCUCACCCCCCAUCAUCCCGCUGGACAGGGAGACCCAGGUGCAACCCACAGAUCAUGACCACAGCUCCGGCAGCCAGGAGCAGUCAUACGUGGGGAAGCGAUCAAACCGUGUGGUGCGAACCCUGCAGAACACUCCUUCCCUGCACUCAAGGCACUGGGGAGCCCCCCAACAGCAGGAGGGACGAAAGCAGCAGCACCAGGAGGAGCUGAGCGUCACCCCCACCCCCCUGGGGCUGCAGGAGACCAUCGCGGAGUCCCUGCAUAUCACCCGGCCCCUGCUGCACCUCAGUGCUCAGCCUGAGCCUCUGUGGUCAACGCUCCUGGACACCCUGGCUCCUGUCUGGGCUCGUGGACGUGACCAGCCUGAGCCUCCUGAGCGACAGGAAGCGCCUGACCCGCAGGGAGCGGCUGGAGCUGCGCCGGCGCACCAUCCUGCUGCUCUACUACCUGCUGCGCUCCCCGUUCUAUGACCGCUUCUCCGAGGCCAAAAUCCUCUUCCUGCUCAAGCUGCUGGCAGACCACGUCCCAGGCAUUGGCCUGGUCACGAGGCCACUCAUGGAUUACUUGCCCACCUGGCAGAAGAUCUACUUCUACAGUUGGGGCUGACAGGCACUCCAAGAGUGGGGUGCAGGGAGGGGUGGGGUGGCACGCUCUGCUGCUGUGGAUAAGGGGGUACCCCAAUCCCUCAGUCCUCUGGGCCCCCUUUUCCUAAUAAAGGUGGCAGUGUGCAAGCAUGUGGCCUCUGUGCGCCCCCAGCCCGGGCCUUCAUCACUGCUUCCAUAACACCUCCCCAGCUUAGCAAGCCCCCGUCACUGCCCAAUGCCUGCUUCUUGCCUGCUUCUUGUCUCGAGUCCCUGUGACAACAAAUGCGGCUGAACCUGGGCCCCUAGGCCAUGGAGGGCCGCUGCCUUUGUGGCGCCAGCCUGGGGCUGCCUGCAGCCUCUACCCUGGAGCUGGACAGUGCUCAGCCUUCAAACACUCACCCCCCGCUGAAGGCCGCAGGUUUUUCUUCUGUGGGAAGACUCGGGUACCCACCACCAUGGGGCAUAUGGGGGGCUAGAGGUUAUAUACCAAAAUUGCCCCUCUCCCCUUCUGCUGGCUACAUCUGCCUGGAAGCAGGUGGUAGGUGGGACGGAGCCUCCUAAGAAGCCAACCCAGGGACUGGGCCAGGAUGGAAGGUUCUGUGCUUUCAGAGGUCAUAGCUCAAAGGCUGUGAUUUUCCCAUGAGUCUAAGAAGCCUUGCUGGGUGCUUGCCCUUCUGCUGGACCUUUCGGGAGAACUGGGCUUAGUGGCUUGCCUCCUGGGUCUCCCCAGUGUUGGGAGGCAUGUAGAUUGUGGCGGGCUGGGUCCUCCCCAUGAGUGUGUAGGAAGUGGAUGAGUGUGGGUGAAUGGGGCAGGCCUGCCCAAGCCGACAGCCAGGGGUGUGGCUGGUAGGCACUUAUCAUCUAAGCAAGCUUUUAUUUCUGUUUUACUUUCUCCCCAUCUUUUUUUUCCAGAGCACUGUCCAGCUUUGGCUUAUGGUGGUGCUGGGGAUUAGACCUGGGAUUUUAAGUCUCAGGCAUGGAAGCUUUUUGCAUAACCUCUGUGUUAUCCCCCUGCCCACUUUUAUUCUUUUUUAAAAAAGAAUUUAUUUAUUCAUGAGGAAGAUAGGAGGAGAGAAAGAAUCAGCCACCAUUCUGGUACACAUGCUGCCGGGGAUUGAACUCAGGACCUCGGGCUUGAGAAUCCAAUGCUUUAUCCACUGCGCCACCUCCCGGACCACCACUUUUAUUUAUUCUUAUUUUUUAAUUUAUUUUUUACCAGCACUACUCAGCUCUGGUUUAUGGUUGUGUGGGGGAUUGAACCUGGGACUUUGAAGCCUCAGGCAUGAGAGUCUCUUCGUAUAAUCAUUAUGCUGUCUCCCUAGUCCAUUUACUUAUUUAGGACUAUUUAUAUUUGAUAGGACAGAGAACUUGAAAGGGGAAGGGGAGGUAAGGAGAAUGAGAGACACCUGCAGCUCUGCUUCACCACUUGUAUAGCUGCCCCCCUGCAGGCAAGGGGCUGGGGACUUGAACCCAGUUCCUUGUGCUUGUUAACGUGUGUGUUCAACCUGGUGCGCCACUGCCCGAUCCUUUAUUAAUUAAAGAUUUGUUAAUUAAAAGUUUUUUAAAAUUUUUAUU
RNA transcript from Erinaceus europaeus (western European hedgehog), 2784 nucleotides. It is a transcript of the gene named peroxisomal biogenesis factor 16, with no coding region annotated. NCBI's taxonomy places the organism in Eukaryota, Metazoa, Chordata, Mammalia, Eulipotyphla, Erinaceidae. The record is from RefSeq and is a predicted model, not a curated record. The transcript has 11 exons.